UACAGAGGUGGCAAGCGUUGUUCGGAAUUACUGGGCGUAAAGGGCGCGUAGGCGGUUCGUUAAGUCCUGUGUGAAAUCCCCCGGCUCAACUGGGGAACUGCACAGGAAACUAGCGGGCUUGAGUUCGGGAGAGGGAAGCGGAAUUCCGGGUGUAGCGGUGAAAUGCGUAGAUAUCAGGAGGAACACCAAUGGCGAAGGCAGCUCGCUGGGACGUGACUGACGCUGAGACGCGAAAGCGUGGGGAGCAAACAGG
RNAcentral lists this ribosomal RNA (253 nucleotides) under uncultured bacterium. RNAcentral describes it as "partial 16S ribosomal RNA". It matches the Rfam family "Bacterial small subunit ribosomal RNA", at positions 524 to 776 of the family's 1533-position model. The record is from RNAcentral.